GGAUGUCAGGGCAAUCUGGUUGCGACAUCUGUCACCCCAUUGAUUGCCAGGGUUGAUUCGGCUGAUCUGGCUGGCUAGGCGGGUGUCCCCUUCCUCCCUCACCGCUCCAUGUGCGUCCCUCCCGAAGCCGCAUGCUCGGUCAAAGAGGCCGACCAUCCCUGAUAGAGGAGGACCGGUCUUUGGUCAAGGGUAUACGAGAAGCUGCGCUCCCCUGCUAAAACCUCCAAACAAGCUCUCAAGUGUCC
RNAcentral lists this long non-coding RNA (245 nucleotides) under Cervus elaphus hippelaphus. It matches the Rfam family "7SK RNA", at positions 1 to 245 of the family's 331-position model. From Rfam's summary of the family: 7SK was discovered as an abundant small nuclear RNA in the mid-70s but a possible function has only recently been suggested. Two independent studies have found that 7SK RNA binds the CDK9/cyclin T complex (known as elongation factor P-TEFb). The record is from RNAcentral. Lineage: Eukaryota; Metazoa; Chordata; Mammalia; Artiodactyla; Cervidae.